UACGGGAGGCAGCAGUGGGGAAUAUUGCACAAUGGGCGCAAGCCUGAUGCAGCCAUGCCGCGUGUAUGAAGAAGGCCUUCGGGUUGUAAAGUACUUUCAGUCGUGAGGAAGGUGUUAAGGUUAAUAACCUUAGCAAUUGACGUUAGCGACAGAAGAAGCACCGGCUAACUCCGUGCCAGCAGCCGCGGUAAUACGGAGGGUGCGAGCGUUAAUCGGAAUUACUGGGCGUUAAAGGGCACGCAGGCGGUUAAUUAAGUUGGAUGUGAAAUCCCCGGGCUUAACCUGGGAAUGGCAUUCAAGACUGGUUAGCUAGAGUCUUGUAGAGGGGGUAGAAUUCCAUGUGUAGCGGUGAAAUGCGUAGAGAUGUGGAGGAAUACCGGUGGCGAAGGCGGCCCCUGGACAAAGGACUGACGCUCAUGUGCGAAAGCGUGGGGAGCAAACAGGGAUUAGAUACC
This 455-nucleotide ribosomal RNA is filed under the name uncultured bacterium. RNAcentral describes it as "bacterial SSU rRNA". It matches the Rfam family "Bacterial small subunit ribosomal RNA", at positions 340 to 786 of the family's 1533-position model. The record is from RNAcentral.